This 2742-nucleotide unclassified non-coding RNA is filed under the name Penaeus monodon (black tiger shrimp). RNAcentral's name for it is "e3 ubiquitin-protein ligase MARCHF5-like, transcript variant X2". The record is from RNAcentral. Lineage: Eukaryota; Metazoa; Arthropoda; Malacostraca; Decapoda; Penaeidae.
CCCCGAGUCAAAAUAAACCCAGCUCUCGAGAUCCCAAAUGACACCGGAGGAAAUUUUUCUUUGACACAUUAGAUGCAUCUUGACACCAUUUUUCGACAUGGCAGAUGAACCGCACCCUGUUUCCAAUCAAGUCGAAGACGAAGAAAACAAACGUUACUGCUGGGUGUGCUACGCAAGUGACGAGGAUGAUGAGACUGCACCCUGGGUGAAGCCUUGUAAAUGCAGAGGAACUACAAAAUGGGUUCACCAGUCGUGUUUGCAGCGAUGGGUGGACGAAAAACAGAAGGGUAAUUCGACAGUGAAAGUGAAUUGUCCUCAAUGUGGGGUCGAGUAUUUCAUUGCCUUUCCAAAUAUGGGCCAGCUAAUGCUGUUCCUGGACAGAGUAGAUGCCUUCAUAUAUAAAGUCUGUCCAUUUGUGGCAGCGGGGGUGGUGGUUGGAUCAAUCUACUGGACAGCUGUUACCUAUGGAGCCAUUACAGUUAUGCAGGUCGUAGGAUACCAGGAGGGCAUGGCCUUGAUGGAACAGGCUGAUCCUUUGGUCCUGUUGGUUGGGUUGCCCACGAUACCUAUCUUCCUGAUCCUAGGCAAGAUGGUUCGCUGGGAGGACAAGGUCUUGCGGCUAAUACGCAUGUCAGUGCAGAGGCUUCCUUUCCUGAAAUAUCUUCUGCCAGCAUUUAGGUAUGAGGAACUAUCAGAUGUUAGUACAACUGCAGUCAUCAGUGAUCCUGUAAAUGCCACAAGGGUGUUGUGUGGUGCGCUCUCAUUGCCAACACUUGCUACAAUAGUUGGGCGCCUCUUCUUUCCCUCGGCUCAGGACAACCUUACGAGAACUUUGCUGGGAGGGGCAUCCUUCUUGGUGGUGAAAGGCCUGUUCAAAGUGUACUACAAGCAACAGCAGCACGUAAUGCAGAGCCGGCGGAAGAUCAUAGAUUACCCCCAGGAGCCAGCCACGCCCCAGACGCAACCUCCCACCCCACAGGCCCCACCCCCCACUCCACAGGACGCUCCCCAGGUGGAGCCAGUGCCUACGACACUAUCUCCUUCCUCGGGCUUUGAGAUGGAGCAACAGUACCUGCAGCAGCAUCAACAAUAGGAGCUGUCUUAUGGUUUAUAUCUGCUGUUAGGAAUGUGUGAUAUGGAUACAGUUCCCAUCUUGUGCAAGGUGACUGAUACCUCACAGACCCUUAUUCAUGCUUAACAGUCUGGUUGUGCUCGUUGAUGCUGUAGCAUUCAGGAAGGAGAAGGUUGACACUUUAGAGACUGCAGUGAGGACCUUUUUUCCCCUCUCUCUCUUUCCUUGAAAUAGACUGGCUUUUGGACCUACUGGUACUUGUCAUCAUUAAGAUGGUGUUGAUUUUUUGGGGGUAUUGAUGUCAGCAUUGGUAUAUGUUAUAAUUAUAAUGUCAGAGUGAACUGUGAUAGUGAUGUUAAAAAUUUAAUAGUGAGAUGUACUAACACUGGCAUAUGCAGAUAGCUUUCUUCUGCAUGAAAUGCUUAACCAAAAUAUGUGAUUUCUUUUUAUGUGGAGAAUAGGAGAUUAUACAUCUUUUUAUUUUACCAUUAAAGGAUAAGGUAUUUGUUGUACUAAAUUUGCAGUCAGUAUAUUGCAGAUGUUGGCUUGACUUAGUUUAUCAUUUGUAAACAGUGUGAUGUUUUUUUCAGACAUGUUGGUAUCCUGUAAAUAGCAGUUUUCAUUUGAUAUCAAGGAGUUCUAGAGAGUUACUUUUAACAAAAUGGAGAUGAAACUAGUAGCAUGUCCCAUUUCUGUCUAGAAGAGUUUAAAGAUUUAGUUGGUUAUUCUGCUGGUACAGUAGCCAGAUAAUUUUUAUGAUGAUACUUUUAAUAAUGCCAGGAAUGGAGAAGGAUUCAGUUCCUUUGGACACUGAUAUGGUAUCUGAUGGUGAGAGUAGUAAGCUCAUGUAAAAGAAGUUCUUGGCAGAGGGAAAGGGGAAUUUAUGUUUUAAAGGUAGAUUUAGGGAUCUGUUUUUCCUAAAACUGCUGAUCAUUGUUAAUUUAGAGAUGAGAGUUUGUAAUCUAGUUAAACAGCUUAAUUUGAAAGAAGAAGAGAAUAGACGUAAACAAUGGACUUCUUCUGGAAAGUUUAGAUAAGCAUAGCAGGAUAUUUCAAUUUUUUCAUCUUUAAACUAUUGUCAUCCACAGCUAUUUAUCAUGAAUAUCUAUUUUAAUGACCAUUUUCCACAUUCACUAAUCCUUUAUUAUUUUGAAGGAUUGUCAUGUAUAAUGAUUGGUGGCCGUUAUUCUGAAGGUUUGGUGAUAAUGUAGCCAAAAUGAAUGCUAGAGCAUGGAUAUUUCAGUGCAUUUGGUGUGUAUGUGUGUCUGUAUGCUUGAAAGAUAAUGUUCAUAGUAUAUUUCAUCAGAUUUAGAAAUGAGACAAGCGUAACUUUUUUCUUUUUCAUAUUAGUCUUUUUUGAGGCUAAGUUUAACAUGAAACACACCAGUGUGAAUGUUUUUUUUUAACAAUUUUUUGAAUUUGAUGGGAUGGUCUACUUCUUGUGUAUUUGAAAGACCUAAACUUACACUGAAGGAUCAACAUUUAUAUUAUUGUUAAUUGUAUCCUAUGAAAUUGAAGAGUACUGUAUAUCCUUUCUCAAGUUUCACCUAAUUUGUGUGAUUUAUUUUUCUUAUGAUAUAUAUUUAUGUUAAUUAGAAAAUGUAGAAAGUCAUGUGGUAAUCCCUUUCAGAUUUGAGAGAAUCAACAGUAACAUUUAUAAUAAUAAUAAU